RNAcentral lists this ribosomal RNA (448 nucleotides) under uncultured bacterium. Its description in RNAcentral is "bacterial SSU rRNA". It matches the Rfam family "Bacterial small subunit ribosomal RNA", at positions 355 to 825 of the family's 1533-position model. The record is from RNAcentral.
UGGGGAAUUUUGGACAAUGGGGGAAACCCUGAUGCAGCGACGCCGCGUGGAGGACGAAGGAUCUAGGUCUGUAAACUCCUUUUUCACGGAAAGACUUAGGACGGUACCGUGAGAAUAAGCCCCGGCUAACUACGUGCCAGCAGCCGCGGUAAGACGUAGGGGGCGAGCGUUGUCCGGAUUUAUUGGGCGUAAAGAGUUCGUAGGCUGUUUGUUAAGUCUGAUGUUAAAGACUGGGGCUCAACCUCGGAAAUGCAUUGGAUACUGGCAGACUGGAGUGCAGUAGAGGCUAGUGGAAUUCCCAGUGUAGCGGUGAAAUGCGUAGAUAUUGGGAAGAACACCGGUGGCGUAGGCGACUAGCUGGGCUGUAACUGACGCUGAGGAACGAAAGCCAGGGGAGCGAAUGGGAUUAGAUACCCCAGUAGUCCCUGAGCGGGCUGGCAAGGCGCAU